AUCCUGAGUACGACGGAGCACGUGAAAUUCCGUCGGAAUCUGGGAGGACCAUCUCCUAAGGCUAAAUACUCUCUAGUGACCGAUAGUGAACCAGUACCGUGAGGGAAAGGUGAAAAGCACCCCGGAAGGGGAGUGAAAUAGAACCUGAAACCGUGUGCUUACAAGUAGUCAGAGCCCGUUAAUGGGUGAUGGCGUGCCUUUUGUAGAAUGAACCGGCGAGUUACGAUUUGAUGCAAGGUUAAGCAGUAAAUGUGGAGCCGUAGCGAAAGCGAGUCUGAAUAGGGCGUUUAGUAUUUGGUCGUAGACCCGAAACCAGGUGAUCUACCCUUGGUCAGGUUGAAGUUCAGGUAACACUGAAUGGAGGACCGAACCGACUUACGUUGAAAAGUGAGCGGAUGAACUGAGGGUAGCGGAGAAAUUCCAAUCGAACCUGGAGAUAGCUGGUUCUCUCCGAAAUAGCUUUAGGGCUAGCCUCAAGUGAUGAUUAUUGGAGGUAGAGCACUGUUUGGACGAGGGGCCCCUCUCGGGUUACCGAAUUCAGACAAACUCCGAAUGCCAAUUAAUUUAACUUGGGAGUCAGAACAUGGGUGAUAAGGUCCGUGUUCGAAAGGGAAACAGCCCAGACCACCAGCUAAGGUCCCAAAAUAUAUGUUAAGUGGAAAAGGAUGUGGCGUUGCCCAGACAACUAGGAUGUUGGCUUAGAAGCAGCCAUCAUUUAAAGAGUGCGUAAUAGCUCACUAGUCGAGUGACACUGCGCCGAAAAUGUACCGGGGCUAAACAUAUUACCGAAGCUGUGGAUUGUCCUUUGGACAAUGGUAGGAGAGCGUUCUAAGGGCGUUGAAGCAUGAUCGUAAGGACAUGUGGAGCGCUUAGAAGUGAGAAUGCCGGUGUGAGUAGCGAAAGACGGGUGAGAAUCCCGUCCACCGAUUGACUAAGGUUUCCAGAGGAAGGCUCGUCCGCUCUGGGUUAGUCGGGUCCUAAGCUGAGGCCGACAGGCGUAGGCGAUGGAUAACAGGUUGAUAUUCCUGUACCACCUAUAAUCGUUUUAAUCGAUGGGGGGACGCAGUAGGAUAGGCGAAGCGUGCGAUUGGAUUGCACGUCUAAGCAGUAAGGCUGAGUAUUAGGCAAAUCCGGUACUCGUUAAGGCUGAGCUGUGAUGGGGAGAAGACAUUGUGUCUUCGAGUCGUUGAUUUCACACUGCCGAGAAAAGCCUCUAGAUAGAAAAUAGGUGCCCGUACCGCAAACCGACACAGGUAGUCAAGAUGAGAAUUCUAAGGUGAGCGAGCGAACUCUCGUUAAGGAACUCGGCAAAAUGACCCCGUAACUUCGGGAGAAGGGGUGCUCUUUAGGGUUAACGCCCAGAAGAGCCGCAGUGAAUAGGCCCAAGCGACUGUUUAUCAAAAACACAGGUCUCUGCUAAACCGUAAGGUGAUGUAUAGGGGCUGACGCCUGCCCGGUGCUGGAAGGUUAAGAGGAGUGGUUAGCUUCUGCGAAGCUACGAAUCGAAGCCCCAGUAAACGGCGGCCGUAACUAUAACGGUCCUAAGGUAGCGAAAUUCCUUGUCGGGUAAGUUCCGACCCGCACGAAAGGCGUAACGAUUUGGGCACUGUCUCAACGAGAGACUCGGUGAAAUCAUAGUACCUGUGAAGAUGCAGGUUACCCGCGACAGGACGGAAAGACCCCGUGGAGCUUUACUGUAGCCUGAUAUUGAAAUUCGGCACAGCUUGUACAGGAUAGGUAGGAGCCUUUGAAACGUGAGCGCUAGCUUACGUGGAGGCGCUGGUGGGAUACUACCCUAGCUGUGUUGGCUUUCUAACCCGCACCACUUAUCGUGGUGGGAGACAGUGUCAGGCGGGCAGUUUGACUGGGGCGGUCGCCUCCUAAAAGGUAACGGAGGCGCUCAAAGGUU
RNAcentral lists this ribosomal RNA (1909 nucleotides) under Staphylococcus aureus. RNAcentral describes it as "partial 23S ribosomal RNA". It matches the Rfam family "Bacterial large subunit ribosomal RNA", at positions 405 to 2318 of the family's 2925-position model. Lineage: Bacteria; Bacillati; Bacillota; Bacilli; Caryophanales; Staphylococcaceae. The record is from RNAcentral.